CCUACGGGUGGCAGCAGUGAGGAAUAUUGGUCAAUGGGCGCGAGCCUGAACCAGCCAAGUCGCGUGAGGGAAGACGGUCCUAUGGAUUGUAAACCUCUUUUGUCGGGGAGCAAAAGACGCCACGCGUGGCGUUCCGCGAGUACCCGAAGAAAAAGCAUCGGCUAACUCCGUGCCAGCAGCCGCGGUAAUACGGAGGAUGCGAGCGUUAUCCGGAUUUAUUGGGUUUAAAGGGUGCGCAGGCGGAAGGUCAAGUCAGCGGUAAAAUUGCGGGGCUCAACCUCGUCGUGCCGUUGAAACUGGGUUUCUUGAGGGAGGGAGAGGUAUGCGGAAUGCGUGGUGUAGCGGUGAAAUGCAUAGAUAUCACGCAGAACUCCGAUUGCGAAGGCAGCAUACCGGCGCUCAACUGACGCUCAGGCACGAAAGUGUGGGUAUCGAACAGGAUUAGAUACCCCUGUAGUC
RNAcentral lists this ribosomal RNA (459 nucleotides) under uncultured bacterium. RNAcentral describes it as "partial 16S ribosomal RNA". It matches the Rfam family "Bacterial small subunit ribosomal RNA", at positions 338 to 795 of the family's 1533-position model. The record is from RNAcentral.